AAAUGCGAUAAGUAGUGUGAAUUGCAGAAUUCAGUGAAUCAUCGAAUCUUUGAACGCACAUUGCGCCCUUUGGUAUUCCUUAGGGCAUGCCUGUUCGAGCGUCAUCUAAACCUUCAAGCCCUGCUUGGUGUUGGGUGCCUGUCCCGCCUCCGCGCGCGGACUCACCUCAAAUCCAUUGGCGGCCCCCGCGUCGGCCACGAGCGCAGCAGAAACGCGAACUCGUGAGCCCGCCCGGGCGGCUCCCAGAAGCUACACCCACCCAGUUUGACCUCGGAUCAGGUAGGGAUACCCGCUGAACUUAAGC
Molecule: unclassified non-coding RNA, 304 nt
Filed under: plant metagenome
Description: partial contains 5.8S ribosomal RNA, internal transcribed spacer 2, and large subunit ribosomal RNA
Rfam family: 5.8S ribosomal RNA (bases 1-104)
Source: RNAcentral